RNAcentral lists this ribosomal RNA (253 nucleotides) under uncultured bacterium. Its description in RNAcentral is "partial 16S ribosomal RNA". It matches the Rfam family "Bacterial small subunit ribosomal RNA", at positions 524 to 776 of the family's 1533-position model. The record is from RNAcentral.
UACGUAGGGCGCAAGCGUUAUCCGGAAUUAUUGGGCGUAAAGAGCUCGUAGGCGGUUUGUCGCGUCUGCCGUGAAAGUCCGGGGCUCAACUCCGGAUCUGCGGUGGGUACGGGCAGACUAGAGUGCAGUAGGGGAGACUGGAAUUCCUGGUGUAGCGGUGAAAUGCGCAGAUAUCAGGAGGAACACCGAUGGCGAAGGCAGGUCUCUGGGCUGUAACUGACGCUGAGGUGCGAAAGCGUGGGGAGCAAACAGG